GCCCGGGUGGCGGAAUCGGUAGACGCAGGGGACUCAAAAUCCCCCGGCCUUCGGGCCUUACGAGUUCGAGUCUCGUCCCGGGUA
Molecule: transfer RNA, 84 nt
Filed under: Gemmatimonas sp.
Lineage: Bacteria; Pseudomonadati; Gemmatimonadota; Gemmatimonadia; Gemmatimonadales; Gemmatimonadaceae
Also listed under: 2 other names
Description: tRNA-Leu
Rfam family: tRNA
About the family: Transfer RNA (tRNA) molecules are approximately 80 nucleotides in length. Their secondary structure includes four short double-helical elements and three loops (D, anti-codon, and T loops).
Source: RNAcentral